Molecule: ribosomal RNA, 1510 nt
Filed under: Klebsiella pneumoniae
Lineage: Bacteria; Pseudomonadati; Pseudomonadota; Gammaproteobacteria; Enterobacterales; Enterobacteriaceae
Description: bacterial SSU rRNA
Rfam family: Bacterial small subunit ribosomal RNA
Source: RNAcentral
AGAGUUUGAUCAUGGCUCAGAUUGAACGCUGGCGGCAGGCCUAACACAUGCAAGUCGAGCGGUAGCACAGAGAGCUUGCUCUCGGGUGACGAGCGGCGGACGGGUGAGUAAUGUCUGGGAAACUGCCUGAUGGAGGGGGAUAACUACUGGAAACGGUAGCUAAUACCGCAUAAUGUCGCAAGACCAAAGUGGGGGACCUUCGGGCCUCAUGCCAUCAGAUGUGCCCAGAUGGGAUUAGCUAGUAGGUGGGGUAACGGCUCACCUAGGCGACGAUCCCUAGCUGGUCUGAGAGGAUGACCAGCCACACUGGAACUGAGACACGGUCCAGACUCCUACGGGAGGCAGCAGUGGGGAAUAUUGCACAAUGGGCGCAAGCCUGAUGCAGCCAUGCCGCGUGUGUGAAGAAGGCCUUCGGGUUGUAAAGCACUUUCAGCGGGGAGGAAGGCGNCGAUUGACGUUACCCGCAGAAGAAGCACCGGCUAACUCCGUGCCAGCAGCCGCGGUAAUACGGAGGGUGCAAGCGUUAAUCGGAAUUACUGGGCGUAAAGCGCACGCAGGCGGUCUGUCAAGUCGGAUGUGAAAUCCCCGGGCUUAACCUGGGAACUGCAUUCGAAACUGGCAGGCUAGAGUCUUGUAGAGGGGGGUAGAAUUCCAGGUGUAGCGGUGAAAUGCGUAGAGAUCUGGAGGAAUACCGGUGGCGAAGGCGGCCCCCUGGACAAAGACUGACGCUCAGGUGCGAAAGCGUGGGGAGCAAACAGGAUUAGAUACCCUGGUAGUCCACGCCGUAAACGAUGUCGAUUUGGAGGUUGUGCCCUUGAGGCGUGGCUUCCGGAGCUAACGCGUUAAAUCGACCGCCUGGGGAGUACGGCCGCAAGGUUAAAACUCAAAUGAAUUGACGGGGGCCCGCACAAGCGGUGGAGCAUGUGGUUUAAUUCGAUGCAACGCGAAGAACCUUACCUGGUCUUGACAUCCACAGAACUUUCCAGAGAUGGAUUGGUGCCUUCGGGAACUGUGAGACAGGUGCUGCAUGGCUGUCGUCAGCUCGUGUUGUGAAAUGUUGGGUUAAGUCCCGCAACGAGCGCAACCCUUAUCCUUUGUUGCCAGCGGUUAGGCCGGGAACUCAAAGGAGACUGCCAGUGAUAAACUGGAGGAAGGUGGGGAUGACGUCAAGUCAUCAUGGCCCUUACGACCAGGGCUACACACGUGCUACAAUGGCAUAUACAAAGAGAAGCGACCUCGCGAGAGCAAGCGGACCUCAUAAAGUAUGUCGUAGUCCGGAUUGGAGUCUGCAACUCGACUCCAUGAAGUCGGAAUCGCUAGUAAUCGUAGAUCAGAAUGCUACGGUGAAUACGUUCCCGGGCCUUGUACACACCGCCCGUCACACCAUGGGAGUGGGUUGCAAAAGAAGUAGGUAGCUUAACCUUCGGGAGGGCGCUUACCACUUUGUGAUUCAUGACUGGGGUGAAGUCGUAACAAGGUAACCGUAGGGGAACCUGCGGUUGGAUCACCU